Long non-coding RNA from Hyalella azteca, 184 nucleotides. RefSeq lists it as uncharacterized. The record is from RefSeq and is a predicted model, not a curated record. The transcript is spliced from 3 exons. Lineage: Eukaryota; Metazoa; Arthropoda; Malacostraca; Amphipoda; Hyalellidae.
AGCCGAACGCUGCUGCUUCUCUGGGCAUCGCUCUUCUCGGCCAUACUCCUCAGUUUUACCCACGCUUCUCCACUCAGCAGAAAUGUCGGUGUUGGAUUUGACUACGACGACCCUGAGCUUACGCUGCUGGCCAUCACCCGUCUGCUGCACAGCAACGCUCUCGACCAUCCAAACAAGCGAGGUC